This 402-nucleotide ribosomal RNA is filed under the name uncultured prokaryote. Its description in RNAcentral is "bacterial SSU rRNA". It matches the Rfam family "Bacterial small subunit ribosomal RNA", at positions 355 to 774 of the family's 1533-position model. The record is from RNAcentral.
UGGGGAAUAUUGGACAAUGGGGGCAACCCUGAUCCAGCCAUGCCGCGUGAGUGAAGAAGGCCCUAGGGUUGUAAAGCUCUUUCGCACGCGACGAUGAUGACGGUAGCGUGAGAAGAAGCCCCGGCUAACUUCGUGCCAGCAGCCGCGGUAAUACGAAGGGGGCAAGCGUUGUUCGGAUUUACUGGGCGUAAAGGGCGCGUAGGCGGAUGUUCAAGUCAGAGGUGAAAGCCCUGGGCUCAACCCGGGAACUGCCUUUGAAACUGGACAUCUUGAGUAUGGGAGAGGGUGGCGGAAUACCCAGUGUAGAGGUGAAAUUCGUAGAUAUUGGGUAGAACACCAGUGGCGAAGGCGGCCACCUGGCCCAUAACUGACGCUGAGGCGCGAAAGCGUGGGGAGCAAACA